Molecule: long non-coding RNA, 2818 nt
Organism: Danio aesculapii
Lineage: Eukaryota; Metazoa; Chordata; Actinopteri; Cypriniformes; Danionidae
Exons: 3
Source: RefSeq, a predicted model, not a curated record
CUCCGCUCCAUGCCCAGGCCCACAGCAGUAGAAAAUAAUGUGAAACACUCUUAAGAUCACUUAAUGUGAAAACGUGCUUAAAGUACUAAGACCCAAAUUCAGCAUACACUAAAUAACUAUGUAUUCGCGAUGCAACUUCAUAAACAGAUAAGCCAACAAACCAUUGAUAAGACUAAUGCAAUGCCAUGUUAUGCAAUGCCUGUUUCAGUUUUAAAAUGGUCAUGUGUUCAGAAUAAAGGCUCUCAAAGGUGUGGGAGAGUUUUGGUUUAUGCUUCAGUAAAUCAAAAAUAAAUCAAAAAUAAAUAUAGCCUAAUUAACAAAUUUUUAUGCAAAAUAAUUAUUUUUAUUUUUUAUUUCCAUUGUUAAAAAGGAAUCAUGGACACAAAUGAACAUUAAUUUCUGUGUUUUGCAUCAGACAUAAAUCAAUUUAAUGUGGGUCUAAACAAAACACUGACAAUAGAUGGUCAGAACAGAAAGCCUGAUGAGUACAAUGAAACAAUCCCGAUCAGUGUGUUAACCUGACUUCAGAAGUCCCCACCGCGACCACCCCUCCCCCACUGGAUGAUGCAAUCGCGCGCGGCCGCGCGGCCGCCAUUUUAGUUUCUAAUUGAAGCGGUGCAGGUAGCGCAGAACACACUAACGCGAGCGCGACGCAACAGGACACAUCAUCAGAGAUUUCAUCGAGUGAAGAACGCAUGAUGGAGGGAAAAAGGUAAGACUUGUUAUAUAAAUAUCAUGUUAAAUUUAGAAUUCUGUUUAUAGACUGACCAUUUAACAGAUACUGUUAAGAUUGCUUUGGGUAAAUAGCAAGGCUAACGUUAGUUGUUCACUUUUAAGGUUAACUAAUGUUAGCAAGCAUAUUGAUUUGUGUCGUAAUUAACUUUCAGUACAUUAACUGAGAACUAUUUGAAGGCCUUAACCUAAAAGCACGUUUGUUGUAAACAUUUUUCAUACACUAUAAGGUAAUAAAUAAAACUAAUGUGCUUUAAAGAUUUUCCAGUGUCAUAUUCAUAAUUGAAAAGUUUAAACUUGGAGGUUAUGUUAGUAAUGCUGACUCCAAGUUCACGCCUGCGUUAGAAUUGGCGUGAUAUUAACUGUUUAUUUCUUCAGUGGAAUUUGUGCUCCAAAAGACAGUAUAAACAUGUUUUGUUAACGUAAGAGUAAGUUAAUUAAUUUAAUACUAGCCGCUUCUAGUUGUAUAUCACACGUGGCCUAAUGCUGAGUUUAGUAUGUGUACAUUUAUUAAUAUUUUACUUUGCUUCCAUAUAGAUUAAACAAAGAGACAUUCGGCUAUACAGAAGGACAUGGAUAGUGACGCAGACGCUGUAAUCCUAGAAUUACCCGGUUCUUCAUCAUCAAGAGCCUGUGAUGUCCCAGAGCAAAGGAGGACAGAGAGUGUAUUUGUGCCUCAAGAUACCCCAAAUAAAGAAAGUGGAAAGUCUGAAGAGGAGGUAAAGGCAGUGGAAAGAGAACUAUUGGACUGCAUCACUUCUGGCACGGUACCUGGUAAAAAGAAGUGUGAAGACUGCAUCAGGUCAGCGCCUCGAAUCCAUAAGCUCAGAACGUGGGAAUCGGUCAAAUUUUACAAUAACAAUGUACUUACAUUUUAAAUUUACAUUUACAUAAAAAUUGGCCCAUGAGGCAAUUUGUUCCGGCCCUCCAAAUAAUGUGACCAAGACAUCAAAAAUAAAUUUAUUUCAGUUGAAAAACAGCCGCUAUAGUUAUGAAGGGAUGUGCGUUUGUUCAAUAUAGCACGAGCUGCAGAUGAAGACCACGCAGAGAGUGAGUCUCCUGACAAGCGAGUGGCACGAGCAGUUGAAAACAUUUGGAUACUUAAUCUUGAAGGCUUCUCAACACCGCAUUUCUGUUGCACGGAAUGAAACUGCUGCAACUAAACAAAGUUAUGCCAGCUGUGCGCUAGUCUAAAGUUCCGAGUUUAUAUACCAAGGCUAAUACGCACGCACACUGGAUUAACUAUAGCAGCGGGUCGUUCACAUAUCGAUUCGAGUUCGAUAUUUCCAGUAUUAGAAUAUAUGCCAAUAUGCGUGCGCAAGCGCCUUCCAGACGCACUGAGUAGAAAACAUCUCACACCGUAGCGGUGAGAGUUGUGCGUGGCUUUCAGUGCAAUGUAAACAAAAGAAAUGUUAGACGAAUUAUUAUAAAUUAUUCAAAUGAUUAUGCAUGUUAGACUGAAGAUAAUAACAGUUUUUUUAAGUACUUUCCUAAUAUACAGCUUAAAUUUACAUUAGAACCAUGAAACCAUGAUUAUUCUUCAGACUAUAUAAUCGUAGAACCAAAAUCUAUAAUUGUUGCAUCUGUAAUUGUUAUGCAGUUCAAAACAUAACAUGAAUGUGUCUGAAUGUAGAAGAAGCCUACUUGAGCAAUGCACUGCUUUUGUUGUGCUCUGAAAUACAACAUCUGAAUAUGUUUGUAAAUAAUCCUAUUGUACAGUGCAGUGAUGUUAUGUAGUUUCAAAAUACAAUAUAUUCACAUUUUAAUGUAGAAAACAAUCAGUCAUUUCUGUUGAGCACAUGUACACAAUGGCAAAUCAGCGCUGUUAAAGAAUAUGCUCAAAUGUUAGCAGUAAAUGGACAUUUUUAGAAUACAGAUUGGUACCAAACACUUUUUUUCAAUACAGAUUGGUACCAAACCCCAAUUUGUACAAUGAGAUUUCCAAAUGUUGUACUACAGUGAAAAUGUUUGCCUAAAUGAAAUGUGAAAUAAAGUUCAGGGCAAAUGAUUUUUGCCAAAGAACAGUUUAUUGAAUGAAAUUCAUUUGAAUUUUAACGCAUUUGCAGUACAGUUGCGCAUUAUCCAU